AGGUACUUCCUUACUUUCCUAAUCCACAAUUUUUAAUGGUUUUAUUCAUCUCAGAAGCUAAGCAGGGUCGGGCCUGGUUAGCACUUGGAUGGGAGACCAUCUAGGAAGACCAGGUGCUGUAGGUA
This is a ribosomal RNA of Pteropus vampyrus (large flying fox), 125 nucleotides long. NCBI's taxonomy places the organism in Eukaryota, Metazoa, Chordata, Mammalia, Chiroptera, Pteropodidae. The record is from Ensembl.